Pelobates cultripes (western spadefoot toad) is the source of this 233-nucleotide non-coding RNA. The record is from the annotation of a GenBank genome assembly. NCBI's taxonomy places the organism in Eukaryota, Metazoa, Chordata, Amphibia, Anura, Pelobatidae.
CACAACAAUUAAUGAAAUGGUUGCUACAAAUUUAACUAAGCUUCCGCUACAAUAUCAGGAUUUUGCUGAUGUCUGUGAUAAGAAGAAUUCUGAUCAGCUUCCACCUCACAGGCCUUAUGAUUGCCCCAUAGAGCUGCUACCUGGAGCUGCUAUCCCAUUUGGCCGUAUAUACUCCCUUUCUGAGCCUGAAUUGAAAGCACUUCGUGAAUACAUACAAGAAAAUCUUGCCAAAG